GACGAACGCUGGCGGCGUGCUUAACACAUGCAAGUCGAACGGUAGAGCCCCUUCUUUGACGUGAGAGCGGCGCACGGAUGGGGAACACGUCUGCAACCUACCUUUCUCUGGGGUUUAGCCUAUCGAAGGGAAGAUGAAUACCCCACAGUAUGCUGGAUCUCAUCCUCUGGUAUUGAAAGCUACGGUGGAUAGUUAGGGGCACGCGCGAGAUUGGAUAGUUGGUGAGGUAACGGCUCACCAGGUCAGCGAUCUUUAGGGAGCCUGAGAGGGUGAUGCCACACAGGGGGACUGAGACACGGACGAGACUCCUACGGGAGGGAGCAGUGAGGAAUAGUGCACUGGGGGUGAGAGCCUGAUCCAGCCAUCCCGGGUGAAGGAAGGCCGCGCUAUGGGUUGUACACUUCUUUUGUAUAGGGAGAAACCUAGAUACGGGUAUGUAGCUGAAGGUACUAGAUGAAUAAGCACCGGCUAACUACGUG
This 479-nucleotide ribosomal RNA is filed under the name uncultured bacterium. RNAcentral describes it as "partial 16S ribosomal RNA". It matches the Rfam family "Bacterial small subunit ribosomal RNA", at positions 28 to 507 of the family's 1533-position model. The record is from RNAcentral.